UGGUGGUUGUAGUAGUGGUGGUGGUGGUGGUAGUAGAACCUGGUGGCCUAUCAGCAUGGCGACAGUGUGUACUACGUGAGCAUCAGGAACGUGGAGCCACGGCAAGAGCUCAGGGUUUGGUACGCAGCAUCCUAUGCUCUGUUUGUUGGAGUAAAAACAUUCGAAGUAACAGACGAGGAGAGGAGAGUGCUGAGGGAUCAGGACAAACUGUGGCCUUGCUUUGAGUGCUCCCGACGGUUCAGCAGCUCUGAUCAGCUUCAACAGCAUCUCAACUUACACGAUGACUUCGUAGGAGUUACACGGUGAGUUAGACACCUCUAGUUAGACACAGCUAGUUAGACACAGCUAGUUAGACAUCUCAACUUACACGAUGACUUCGUAGGAGUUACACGGUGAGUUAGACACCUCUAGUUAGACACAGCUAGUUAGACAACUCUAG
This is a non-coding RNA of Petromyzon marinus (sea lamprey), 439 nucleotides long. The record is from RefSeq and is a predicted model, not a curated record. NCBI's taxonomy places the organism in Eukaryota, Metazoa, Chordata, Hyperoartia, Petromyzontiformes, Petromyzontidae.